This 111-nucleotide small nuclear RNA is filed under the name Tetrahymena thermophila. Its description in RNAcentral is "snRNA U1-3". Lineage: Eukaryota; Ciliophora; Oligohymenophorea; Hymenostomatida; Tetrahymenidae. The record is from RNAcentral.
AAACCCAUAAAAUAAUAAAUCUUAAUUAAUUAUAUAAGCAAAAGGUCUUUGCCAAACGAAAGACUUUACACCUCUAAACUAAUCAAACAAAAUACUCUCUUCUCUGAACAU